RNAcentral lists this unclassified non-coding RNA (343 nucleotides) under Hevea brasiliensis (rubber tree). Lineage: Eukaryota; Viridiplantae; Streptophyta; Magnoliopsida; Malpighiales; Euphorbiaceae. The record is from RNAcentral.
CACGCUGCUUCAACGGCCAGUGGGUACCCAUAUUUUUCUGGAUACAAUGCAAGCAGGAAAAGGAAAGCAGCUACCAUGGAAAAUCAACAUUAAUGCCAGAGCUAGCAAAUUCCAUUUCAAAUUCAAAGCAACAAAAAUUGAUCCAACUUCGAAAUUCUUCAAAUUCUCGCUCUUUCUCAGGCUCCACGCUUUUCUUCUCCAAGUGAAAACUGAUUCAACUCCCAGGCAACCACCUACCACCCUGAAAUCUAAGUUCCUCAAAUUUUUCCGAAAAUUCAAUACUUCAUCAGCUAAGAAAAGGGCAAUUGCUCCAGAGAAAACCUCAAUUCUCCAAAACCCAGAA